This 912-nucleotide ribosomal RNA is filed under the name Salmonella enterica subsp. enterica serovar Typhimurium. RNAcentral's name for it is "partial 23S ribosomal RNA". It matches the Rfam family "Bacterial large subunit ribosomal RNA", at positions 757 to 1583 of the family's 2925-position model. Lineage: Bacteria; Pseudomonadati; Pseudomonadota; Gammaproteobacteria; Enterobacterales; Enterobacteriaceae. The record is from RNAcentral.
UAACACUAACUGGAGGACCGAACCGACUAAUGUUGAAAAAUUAGCGGAUGACCUGUGGCUGGGGGUGAAAGGCCAAUCAAACCGGGAGAUAGCUGGUUCUCCCCGAAAGCUAUUUAGGUAGCGCCUCGUGAAUUCAUCUCCGGGGGUAGAGCACUGUUUCGGCUAGGGGGCCAUCCCGGCUUACCAACCCGAUGCAAACUGCGAAUACCGGAGAAUGUUAUCACGGGAGACACACGGCGGGUGCUAACGUCCGUCGUGAAGAGGGAAACAACCCAGACCGCCAGCUAAGGUCCCAAAGUCAUGGUUAAGUGGGAAACGAUGUGGGAAGGCCCAGACAGCCAGGAUGUUGGCUUAGAAGCAGCCAUCAUUUAAAGAAAGCGUAAUAGCUCACUGGUCGAGUCGGCCUGCGCGGAAGAUGUAACGGGGCUAAACCAUGCACCGAAGCUGCGGCAGCGAACGUAUCACCCAAGACAACUUUACGGAGUUGACGAUUGACGGAGCGAAGCGACGUCAAAGCGUUCAUUAAAGUCGAGUUGGCUUAGGGAUACGUUCGUUGGGUAGGGGAGCGUUCUGUAAGCCUGUGAAGGUGUGUCGUGAGGCAUGCUGGAGGUAUCAGAAGUGCGAAUGCUGACAUAAGUAACGAUAAAGCGGGUGAAAAGCCCGCUCGCCGGAAGACCAAGGGUUCCUGUCCAACGUUAAUCGGGGCAGGGUGAGUCGACCCCUAAGGCGAGGCCGAAAGGCGUAGUCGAUGGGAAACGGGUUAAUAUUCCCGUACUUGGUGUUACUGCGAAGGGGGGACGGAGAAGGCUAUGUUGGCCGGGCGACGGUUGUCCCGGUUUAAGCGUGUAGGUGUGUGUUCCAGGUAAAUCCGGUUCACUUUAACACUGAGGCGUGACGACGAGGCACUACGGU